GUACAAGAUUUUCUUUAAUGGUCUUCAUAAAAGAUAAUGUAAAAAGAUACCUAGAAAGAGUCUGGGUAACAAAGCUCAAUACAAGAUUAGGAUGACUUAGGGUUUCUACAUUUAAGUUGUCAUACUGUAGCAAGUGACCAAACUUUUAACGACUCUACAAAAAACUAGUGAAAGAAUUUGAACAACUCCUUUUUCCCUCAAAAAUAGUAAUCCAGUCAUUUAACAUCACCAUGCUUCACAGCACAGGUAAAAAGGUGACAGAGUCAGGAAGAGGCUUUUCCAGUGCGCGUAAUUCCAGACUGCCCACUGGUCAUCAAACAGACUGAGCAGUAUCAAAGACAGGAGACUGGACUAGCUGAACCAGUUAAGUUUGGGCUGGCAUCCUCUGUUUUUCCUUUUCUGAGGUAAUAGACUUUGAGCACCACAGUGGCUCCACUGAUCAGUUACUGUAUUCCUGUAGCAAAUACAGAAUUGUCACAACAGCUGGCUUUUACAAAAAUUGGCUUUUAAAUGCAUUUUAGAUUCUAUUUAAUUCAAGAUAUUCAUUGCCCCAAAUUAGCAAGUGAUAGCAGCAAUGCUGUAAUUUCCAUUCAGUUGUUAAAUUCCCCAUUAGGGCCUAGGAAAAGAGAAAGCUUGGAAAAUUCUGUGAUUUGGCUUUGGCUAUACUUACAUCCAGCACAUUUCCUUAUAAAGCUGACAUUGAGUGUUGCUAGUGGAUAGCCUUUACAUUAGAGCUCUAUGCUGGCAGAGACAGCCAUUCACUAAUUAAGAGAUUUAGUCAUGAGAGCUCAUUCCUGCCUCCCUCAAUAACAUAUUAAUUUCUUACAACUCUUUAAAUCAUCACUAAGUAUGCAUUCCUAUAAUGGAAUACAUGCUCUUGGGAUCUCAAAUAUGUCAUGGUAAUCCACAACUUGUAGCUGAAAUUUAGCACCUGCCUGAAAGCACUAUGUUGUUAUUUAACUGAUCAUAUGAUGGAAAAAAUAGAACAGAAACAUAUCAAUUAUUGUUGCUGGUGGGUUGGUUUGUUUUGUUUUACAAAGUCUGAGAAUAAAGAAUCCCCAGCUCUAGUCUAAAUUCUAUUUCUCUUUCCUACAGUAACCUUCUGGUAUGUCCUGAACCUUUCUUCAGUUUGUAAAUCUCCAUUUAGGAUGUUGCAAAUAAAAGACCUCCUCUUUCUCACAAUCAGAAAGAAUUAUGUUCCUGUUAGGAUUUCCAUAUAUUUUGAGAUGCAAGGUCAGACACUCUACAUACCUCUUGCUGCUUCCUGCACAACCUUUUGGUGUAUCAGCCACUCCUCCCAGUUCUGUGUUAUCAGCAGACUUACCGAGUACACUCUGCCCCCUCAUCCACACCACUGUGAAGAUGUUAAACAGGACUGGACUCAGUACUGAGCCCUGGGGUAUGCUGCUAGCUGCUGGCCUUCAAUUAGGAUUCCUGGGACUGAGCACCACCCUACAGGUCUGGCCAUUCAGCCAGUUUUAUGCACCUCACUCUCUGCUCAUUCAGCCCAUACUCCAUCAGCUUUUCUAUAAAAAUCUUAUGUGAGAUAAUGUCAAAAUCGCUUGUACCUAUAUGAACUUGUACGGUUACGAAAUAAAAAAGUCAGGGUUUUCCCUUGAAAUGCUUGCACCGGUAAUUAGAUUGUGAAAAAAACCCCAGACAACCAAAGAAUCAACCUGUCCUUUAGAAUGCCAACUCUCUGUUGCUAUGGUCACAAAUUAUCAUAGUAACCAUUAGACACAUAUGUAUUUUUUAGAUUAAAAUUGCUUCUAUUUUUACAGAAUACAGAUCCAAUUGAAAGAAACUACUCAUUCUUACCAGGAAAUACUAAAAAAAAAUCAGAGUAUAAAUUAUGGCAACACUAUUGAAUAAACAAACUCAAAGUGGUUAAUUGCAAAAAAAGGGGGGAGAAUAAGUCACAAACACUGCCGUAUUUCCAGCAGCUAGAAAAUAGUUUGAAUGGACAACAAAAAGAUUUGAGGACAGCUAUUCUAUAACACCAUAAUCUCAGCAAUCCUCACUGGAAAGUGGCUCAAUUAGAAAGCCCAGCAAGAUUAAACAGCCUUAGUCAGGGGUUAACUGCAGUAUUACUUCAUAUUUCUCCAUUAAAGCCCCAGUUUGUCGGUGUCAUGUUCCCCCUCUCCCCCUCCCCCAGGCAGGACUUUCACUCUCAUACAUAGGAAAUACCGACAUUCAACCUGUCAACUGUUACCAGACAAGUCUCUGCUCUCUCUUUUUCAUGACUGUAUGUUAUACCCUCUGGUGGACAAAAUGCAAUUCACAACCCUUCCCUUGCCUUACGGCCUUUAGAUCAGCACUGUGCUAACAGGAAUUUUGUCAUGAAAAUGCUGAACCAAAAUCAAGCAUCGUUACACAGCCUCUAAUUUCUGUACUUCAAGGAAGGUCCUUCAAGUAAUCUUUACCGGGCUAGAUCUGUCUCAGCUUCUCCAUUUUCUAACUGGGCUUUCAUUCAAUCCACAGUCUCAUACAUAGCUCAGCAUGCCUGAAUUUAGACAUGAAUUAAUGGACACAUGUCAAAGUAAAAAUUUCAUUUAUCUCUAUAUGACAUUCAGAACAUUUGAGAAAUAAUUUAACAGAGGAGUCAAAGUGAGGAGUCCAUCACCUCAGUGCUUUCCCAAAAACGCAGCAGCAUGAAUACAAAAAGUUUGUAUUCAAUACCAGGUUUGACAAUCAGGAUCAUUUACCUCCUAAUUUUAUAAAGUCACCAAAAAUUUUCAACUUGCUUUCUUUUUGGUAAGUUACUGAACAGUACUUACGAUAAAAACUUAGUUCCCUUGUAUGUAAAAAUUUUACAUGCUUGCCGUGCAGCCUCAGUCUCCUCCCUGAGCUGCUGCAAAGAACAUGACUGAAUUCCCCAUCUUUGAUAAGUCAGUAUAGCAAUGUAUUUCUACUGCUGCCACAAAUCUUCUAGUCUCAGACAGCUAUGUAUUACAGAAGACUUGAAUCUUUGCUCCUCUAGCGUUCACUCAUUUUUGCAGCCUUUCCACAAAUGUUACUUCUAACAUUUGGCUAAAUGCAGACAGAAUGCUUGUGUCCAAAGGGUCUGCAGUAGGCAUAUUUCAGCCAGAACCCACUGCAAGAAAAGGGAAUGACAUCAAACUAUGCUGUUGACAACAGAUGCUCAGAUUCCAUCUGGGAAUCCAGCCUUAGGCCUUGUUGUACAAGCGACUGCAUGAUUCUAGGUCACAGGAUUAAAUAAUGGAAAAAGGCUAAAUUUCAGCUCUACAAGCCAGUAUUUUUCAUGUCUCCACAGUCAGCAAAAUGGAAGUAGUCCUUUGCUUCAUGAGAGAAAACAUGGGAAACUUAACCGGGUCAUGAAAGGACAGGAGCUGAGAAACAGAGCACGGAAAUAACUGUUUGCUUGCAAGGGUUUACAGAAAGGUUUUAGGCAAAGAAUCAGAGACCUAAAUUUACCUGCAAAACUGCAGAAAAAUCCCCACCAAUUUGCCACUGUUUCUUUUAACUUCAUAUUAUUUCGAUUCCAAUUCUCAUCAGAAAUACAGUGCUGGCAGUUCUGACUGAAUUUUGGGAUUCUACAGACAGCUGCGUAUAUGAGUGUAGUAAAGUCCACCAUUUAGUUCAUCCAAAACUGUAGGCUUGAGGGGAGGGGUAAUUGCCCAGAUGAAAGAUAUCCUCUGGAGCUCCCUCAACAUAACACAUCCACUGCAAAGUGAUGCGAGACACUUGAUACUCAUCUGGUCCUCCCUGUACAUCAGCUGCCUGCUGAGGUAAAAUUCAAACUUUAUUGUUCUGAAGUGAUGAAAGGUUCAAGAACCUCAAUGCAUGUAGCUCAAGCUCAGCUUAGAACGGAUAAGACAGAGAGAGAGAGAUGCUGUAAGAGAGGAAUCAGGCUCUGACCUAUAGAGCGCAGAGUUUAAGUAUUGCUUGAGGAUCAGAAGGGCAACAGUUUUUCCUGGACAACUAUGUACUAUACACAAGACAGGUUCUUAGCUGCUAUGAAGGUUUAUUGUCUUCAUUUACUCUUUAAUCAUUCUCACAAGUUACUCUGAACACUUAAGAUCUCUGUUGAAGCCUUUAGGCCUCUUAACAAUGCCUGUAAACAACAUAAGACUGAGUUAUGUUGAUUAUGUCUAGCAAUAGUGCCAAAUUUCAGAUUAAAAGUGACCAGGAAUCCUUUCUCCUCAAUAACACUAAUGCACAUUCCCAUACAGCAUAUGCCUUUCUGCACAGACCACCUCUCAAACAUUAAAUUCAGUAGACUCCAGACCACAAAUAGCACACAGGAACUCCUGGGAAACUGGUCCUAGAAGCAAGGAGGUUGAACCAGAUAACCUCCAGAGGUCCCUUCCAACUCCACUGACUAUGAUUCUACGAGCUCAUAUAGCUUCAGAAUACUUCACUGAUUUUUCAUGUAUCCAACUUUAGAGGCAACUCAGAAAGCAGCACCACAAGAUACUUCAGCUGGGUGGCACAUUGCAAAUUUUUAGUGGGGAAGGCAAGAAAAACUAUACUACUGACCAGUUACAGAGAGAUGUGAUUCAGCAGUUCCCCAGCAAGUAUCAGAGUAAUGCGACAAUACAGUGUCCCUAUCAGAAAGAAGGGCAAGAAUAUUCCCCCCUCCCCAGAUGAGAGCUUAUUAGCUCUUAGGCCAUAAGCCAUACUUUCCAGCAUUAUAUGCAAUUUUGGAAGACAGACAGGAGAACUCAGCUCAAUUCAAUAGCUGCUCUCAAGCAUACAGUGACACUUCACAGUUAAAAUGCAAGCCUCCUUGAUACAAUGCUAUGUGCAGAUUGUGUAUAAUACCAGCGGAGUAUUCCAUAGUUAUCCCACUUUCCUCCUAAGGCACUAUAUUUCCUGCUUAUUAAGAUGGCGAAGAAUAAAUAACAGUUUCUGGGAAAUUGAUUUUCUCUAGAAAUCUUGCUUUUCAAGGCAAAAAUGACUUGGCCAUAUUUUGUGAGGGAGUCACACUUCCAAGAAGGAUGUAUAAAAGAAAAAAGCCCAGACUGCAAACGAACAAUGAAUGGAACUCAAUUCACUAAAAUGGGGGAAGGUGUAGCUUCCCCAGCACAAGCUUUGCAAUUUUAAGAACACCAGCAUCCCUCUAAUACAUUCUCUACCUACCAAGGAAACUAGUUUAAAACAAAUCAGUCCCCUGGACCCAGAAACAUAAGGCUGGAGAAUUAGAAACUCAAUAAAGAACAGUAAGAAAUUAAGAUGUUUAGUGGAAGUAUAAGAUUUAAAUCCUGACAGUAGUCUCUUCCUAUUUCUUACCCACUGUGGAGGAUACUGCCAAGCAAGUAAACACUGUUCCCUUUUAUGCAGCAAAUCACUAAGUUUCUCAGAUGGGAAACCACAUUUCACUAUUUUCUCUUCCAACAGGAGAACAGUGAUUCAUAGUAUUAUAAAGCGUGGAGGUACAACAUUUCUUUCCAAAAGGCAGUCCUGGCUUUACUUUGUAUCUCAUGCUACAGGUAUUUCAGGGCAAUUUUUAGGCACACAAAGUUUGACACGUACACCCCCCACCCUCCCAUGCCCCACAUCCCUCUUGCAACUUCAGGUAUCAUUUUCCCUCUGUUUUUUAAUCUCUGCCCAGGCACACUAGGAAAGCGGUAUGAAGACUUACUGAACACAAUGGGUUCUACUGCUAGGUGAAGAUGUAACCAUUUGAUUAAUUGCACAAUGAAGCUCACAGAUGAUACUGAAGAGAAACAUUUCCUGCUGAAACAUUCCAACAUUUCCUGCUGAAAACAAUGAGUAUCAGCUGACAAAAGCAUUUUAUCAAAACAGCACAUUCAGUGUUCUCAUUAACAAGGGAAUUUCUACGCAAAAAUGUGCCAUCCAAUGCAGAACUAUAGCAACUCACUAAGAGGUCACAUGGGUGGUGGCAGAUCUGCAGAGGUUUUGAUCAAGCAGAGCACAAUCUAGCAGUCACAUUUCUACUGGAAGAAGAAAAUAGUGUCCAUGCUAAGACAUUUUUCUUGCUCUGGGUAAGUUCUGCUGCUUAACAUCGUCAGCUUUGUAUCACACACUAAGGACUAACAGUCCUUAACUCUUCUUCACACUGUCUCUUACAACCAGAAGUUAUUUAAUUCCCCUGUACAACAAAACUCACGAGUAAGACUGACGCAUACCCACAGGCUAAUGACAUCAAGCAUCAAUGCUAAGUAGAAGAUACUUAGCACAGCACCUAGCUCAGGAAGACAAAGGUAAACACAAAUGCCAAAACUGAGUCUUCAGAAAUUCUUUUUGUGCUUCAAAGUAGGAAGAGUUACUACAAAUGAACAGAUUCCAGGAAACAUUCUGGAAAGCCACUCUGUGAAAGCAGAGCAAUCUGAGACUAUCGCAACAUGUUCACAAGGAAAGGGCACGAGGAUCAGCAUAAGGGGAGACUAAUAAAUCCCUGGUUUCCAAAUCAAGUUCCUCACAAUGAUUUACACAAAUGAUUUGCUAUGGAAGUUUUUAGUUGGAAAAAAAAUAAUCAAGAAAUGUGCUCAUAGAGGUACUUGGUAUAUAGAGAAUAAUGGUUCUCUUUUGUUCAGUACACUAAAAUCUAAGACAGCAAUUCCUUACAACUGAACCUUCCACAUCAUCAGUAAAGAUUUUUAUCCCUUAGAUGGAGAAAGAACUUUCCUCUGGAAACAGAAAGAAUUCCUGCUUC
Molecule: long non-coding RNA, 6640 nt
Organism: Strigops habroptila (Kakapo)
Lineage: Eukaryota; Metazoa; Chordata; Aves; Psittaciformes; Psittacidae
Source: Ensembl